RNAcentral lists this ribosomal RNA (460 nucleotides) under uncultured bacterium. RNAcentral describes it as "partial 16S ribosomal RNA". It matches the Rfam family "Bacterial small subunit ribosomal RNA", at positions 338 to 795 of the family's 1533-position model. The record is from RNAcentral.
CCUACGGGUGGCAGCAGUGAGGCAUAUUGGUCAAUGGGCGCGAGCCUGAUCCAGCCACGCAGCGUGAAGGAUGACUGCCCUACGGGUUGUAAACUUCUUUUAUAAAGGAAUAAAGUGAGGCAAGUGUGCCUAUUUGUAUGUACUUUCUGAAUAAGGAUCGGCUCAUUCCGAGCUAGUAGCCGCGGUAAUACGGAGGAUACGCGCGUUAUCCGGAUUUAUUGGGUUUAAAGGGAGCGUAGAUGGGUUGUUAAGUCAGUUGUGAAAGUUUGCGGCUCAACCGUAAAAUUGCAAUUGAUACUGGGAGUCUUGAGUACAGUUGAGGUAGGCGGAAUUCGGGGUGUAGCGGUGAAAUGCGUAGAUAUCACGAAGAACUCCGAUUGCGAAGGCAGCUUACUAAACUGCCACUGACAUUGAUGCUCGAAAGUGUGGGUAUCAAACAGGAUUAGAUACCCCAGUAGUC